UUUGUGCAGUGGUUAUCACUCCGGAUUUUGAUUCUUAUCUUUCAAAUAUUCCGGCAACCCCGGUUCGAGCCCGGGCACGACCUAA
Molecule: non-coding RNA, 85 nt
Organism: Glutinoglossum americanum
Lineage: Eukaryota; Fungi; Ascomycota; Geoglossomycetes; Geoglossales; Geoglossaceae
Source: the annotation of a GenBank genome assembly